CAGUCGCCGCGGGAAUACAGAGGAUGCAAGCGUUAUCCGGAAUGAUUGGGCGUAAAGCGUCUGUAGGUGGCUUUUCAAGUCCGCCGUCAAAUCCCCGGGCUCAACCGGGGAGGGUCAUUGGAAACUGGGAAACUUGAGUGCAGAAGAGGAGAGUGGAAUUCCACGUGUAGCGGUGAAAUGCGUAGAGAUGUGGAGGAACACCAGUGGCGAAGGCGACUCUCUGGUCUGUAACUGACGCUGAGGAGCGAAAGCGUGGGGAGCGAACAGGAUUAGAUACCCCAGUAGUCCCUGUCUCUUAUAC
This 301-nucleotide ribosomal RNA is filed under the name uncultured bacterium. Its description in RNAcentral is "partial 16S ribosomal RNA". It matches the Rfam family "Bacterial small subunit ribosomal RNA", at positions 509 to 807 of the family's 1533-position model. The record is from RNAcentral.